ACCUUGAUCAUUUGGUUUAUACUGAAGACACACAAGCAACGCAAAGUGAAUUUAUCAGCUACAGUUAAGGCUGAAGAUGAAGUAACGUACUGUGAGGUUGCAUACAGGAGAAGAACUUCAGUGCAGGUAAUAAUUAUAGUGUCAAUAAAUCUUAAAGUUUUCUGUGAAGGU
Betta splendens (Siamese fighting fish) is the source of this 171-nucleotide long non-coding RNA. RefSeq lists it as uncharacterized. Lineage: Eukaryota; Metazoa; Chordata; Actinopteri; Anabantiformes; Osphronemidae. The record is from RefSeq and is a predicted model, not a curated record. The transcript has 3 exons.